AUAAUCACAGUGACCAUCGACACGCUGGAGAAUUUUCCGAAGGCCAUUUACGCUAAAGGAGCCCCACUUACCAACUGCUGGGGCUUCAUUGAUGGCACUGCGCGUGCUAUAUGCCGACCAACUAGGCAGCAGCAGCUUUAUUUCAGCGGGCACAAAAGAUUUCAUUCCCUGAAGUUCCAAACCAUAAUGUGCCCGAAUGUCAUCAUUUGUCAGUUGGAUGGAUGUUAUCCGGGCAGCAAGCACGAUGCUAGUGAGUAAAGGACAGUUCAUAUUCCUGGAA
Long non-coding RNA from Rhipicephalus microplus (southern cattle tick), 280 nucleotides. The record is from RefSeq and is a predicted model, not a curated record. Lineage: Eukaryota; Metazoa; Arthropoda; Arachnida; Ixodida; Ixodidae.